GUGAGUGUAGCUCAGGUGGUUAGAGCACUAGUCUGUGGAACUAGGGGUCGGGGGUUCAAGUCCCCUCACUCACC
This 74-nucleotide transfer RNA is filed under the name Spirochaetales bacterium. RNAcentral's name for it is "tRNA-His". It matches the Rfam family "tRNA". From Rfam's summary of the family: Transfer RNA (tRNA) molecules are approximately 80 nucleotides in length. Their secondary structure includes four short double-helical elements and three loops (D, anti-codon, and T loops). Lineage: Bacteria; Pseudomonadati; Spirochaetota; Spirochaetia; Spirochaetales. The record is from RNAcentral.